RNAcentral lists this transfer RNA (65 nucleotides) under Marcia hiantina. RNAcentral's name for it is "tRNA-Leu". Lineage: Eukaryota; Metazoa; Mollusca; Bivalvia; Venerida; Veneridae. The record is from RNAcentral.
UAUUAAAGUGUCAGAAAAAUGUGUUGAAUUUAGGAUUCAACUAUGGGAAAAUUCCCCUUUAAUAA